This 253-nucleotide ribosomal RNA is filed under the name uncultured bacterium. Its description in RNAcentral is "partial 16S ribosomal RNA". It matches the Rfam family "Bacterial small subunit ribosomal RNA", at positions 524 to 776 of the family's 1533-position model. The record is from RNAcentral.
UACGUAGGGACCAAGCGUUGUCCGGAAUCAUUGGGCGUAAAGCGCGCGUAGGCGGCCCGGUAAGUCCGUUGUAAAAGUCGAAGGCUCAACCUUCGAAAGCCGAUGGAUACUGCCGGGCUAGAGUACGGAAGAGGCGAGUAGAAUUCCUGGUGUAGCGGUGGAAUGCGCAGAUAUCAGGAGGAAUACCCAUAGCGAAGGCAGCUCGCUGGGACGUUACUGACGCUGAGGCGCGAAAGCGUGGAGAGCGAACAGG